CAACGAAAUUUGCCCUUCGGGCAAGUGAAAUAGCUUCGCUGUGAAAUAUUUGCUUUGCAAAUGUGAAAUAUUCG
RNAcentral lists this small RNA (74 nucleotides) under Candidatus Apopatosoma intestinale. RNAcentral describes it as "Ruminococcus sp. CAG:724 Gut-1 RNA". It matches the Rfam family "Gut-1 RNA". Lineage: Bacteria; Bacillati; Bacillota; Clostridia; Eubacteriales. The record is from Rfam by way of RNAcentral.